UACGAAGGGUGCAAGCGUUACUCGGAAUUACUGGGCGUAAAGCGUGCGCAGGCGGUUUUGUAAGACAGGCGUGAAAUCCCCGGGCUCAACCUGGGAAUGGCGCUUGUGACUGCAAAGCUGGAGUGCGGCAGAGGGGGAUGGAAUUCCGCGUGUAGCAGUGAAAUGCGUAGAUAUGCGGAGGAACACCGAUGGCGAAGGCAAUCCCCUGGGCCUGCACUGACGCUCAUGCACGAAAGCGUGGGGAGCAAACAGG
This 253-nucleotide ribosomal RNA is filed under the name uncultured bacterium. Its description in RNAcentral is "partial 16S ribosomal RNA". It matches the Rfam family "Bacterial small subunit ribosomal RNA", at positions 524 to 776 of the family's 1533-position model. The record is from RNAcentral.